CUUUCUCAACAGCCGUGUGCUGUUGGUAUUGAGUGGUACUCUGUCCAGGGUUAGCUUGAAAUAUAGUCUGGCGAGAGCCGUGGCGCGCCUGCGAGCGUGAGAAUAAUGUAUUAGGUUCUGCCAACUCAUUAGGCUCCGCCGAAGGACCAGCGCCACACCAGCUCAGCCGCGAAUAUCUUCACAAA
Molecule: unclassified non-coding RNA, 185 nt
Filed under: uncultured Phaffomycetaceae
Lineage: Eukaryota; Fungi; Ascomycota; Saccharomycetes; Phaffomycetales; Phaffomycetaceae
Description: sequence contains ITS2
Source: RNAcentral